CGUCGAACGGCUGCUGACGGCCUUUUAGAAAUUAGAGGUUUUUCCCGCAAGGGACAGUAGUCGAGGUGCUGCAUGGCUGUCGUCAGCUCGUGUCGUGAGAUGUUGGGUUAAGUCCCGCAACGAGCGCAACCCUUUGUCCUGUGUUGCAACUUACAGGCACUCUCAGGAGACCGCCAGCGAUAAGCUGGAGGAAGUGGGGAUGACGUCAAGUCAUCAUGGCCUUUAUGUCCAGGGCUACACACGUGCUACAAUGGACGGUACAAACCGUCGCAAACCCGCGAGGGGGAGCAAAUCGGAAAAAACCGUUCUCAGUUCGGAUUGCAGGCUGCAACCCGCCUGCAUGAAGCUGGAAUCGCUAGUAAUGGUAUAUCAGAACGAUACCGUGAAUACGUUCCCGGGCCUUGUACACACCGCCCGUCACAUCACGAAAGUGGGUUGUACUAGAAGUCUGCGCGCCAACCGCAAGGAGGCAGCGGCCCAAGGUAUGACUCAUGAUUGGGGUGAAGUCGUAACAAGGUAAGCGUAGCGAG
This 530-nucleotide ribosomal RNA is filed under the name uncultured bacterium. RNAcentral describes it as "bacterial SSU rRNA". It matches the Rfam family "Bacterial small subunit ribosomal RNA", at positions 980 to 1509 of the family's 1533-position model. The record is from RNAcentral.